GACAGCCCCGUACACAAAAAUGCACAUGCUGUGAGCUCGAUGAGUAGGGCGGGACACGUGGUAUCCUGUCUGAAUAUGGGGGGACCAUCCUCCAAGGCUAAAUACUCCUGACUGACCGAUAGUGAACCAGUACCGUGAGGGAAAGGCGAAAAGAACCCCGGCGAGGGGAGUGAAAAAGAACCUGAAACCGUGUACGUACAAGCAGUGGGAGCACGCUUAGGCGUGUGACUGCGUACCUUUUGUAUAAUGGGUCAGCGACUUAUAUUCUGUAGCAAGGUUAACCGAAUAGGGGAGCCGAAGGGAAACCGAGUCUUAACUGGGCGUUAAGUUGCAGGGUAUAGACCCGAAACCCGGUGAUCUAGCCAUGGGCAGGUUGAAGGUUGGGUAACACUAACUGGAGGACCGAACCGACUAAUGUUGAAAAAUUAGCGGAUGACUUGUGGCUGGGGGUGAAAGGCCAAUCAAACCGGGAGAUAGCUGGUUCUCCCCGAAAGCUAUUUAGGUAGCGCCUCGUGAAUUCAUCUCCGGGGGUAGAGCACUGUUUCGGCAAGGGGGUCAUCCCGACUUACCAACCCGAUGCAAACUGCGAAUACCGGAGAAUGUUAUCACGGGAGACACACGGCGGGUGCUAACGUCCGUCGUGAAGAGGGAAACAACCCAGACCGCCAGCUAAGGUCCCAAAGUCAUGGUUAAGUGGGAAACGAUGUGGGAAGGCCCAGACAGCCAGGAUGUUGGCUUAGAAGCAGCCAUCAUUUAAAGAAAGCGUAAUAGCUCACUGGUCGAGUCGGCCUGCGCGGAAGAUGUAACGGGGCUAAACCAUGCACCGAAGCUGCGGCAGCGACGCUUAUGCGUUGUUGGGUAGGGGAGCGUUCUGUAAGCCUGUGAAGGUGUACUGUGAGGUAUGCUGGAGGUAUCAGAAGUGCGAAUGCUGACAUAAGUAACGAUAAAGCGGGUGAAAAGCCCGCUCGCCGGAAGACCAAGGGUUCCUGUCCAACGUUAAUCGGGGCAGGGUGAGUCGACCCCUAAGGCGAGGCCGAAAGGCGUAGUCGAUGGGAAACAGGUUAAUAUUCCUGUACUUGGUGUUACUGCGAAGGGGGGACGGAGAAGGCUAUGUUGGCCGGGCGACGGUUGUCCCGGUUUAAGCGUGUAGGCUGGUUUUCCAGGCAAAUCCGGAAAAUCAAGGCUGAGGCGUGAUGACGAGGCACUACGGUGCUGAAGCAACAAAUGCCCUGCUUCCAGGAAAAGCCUCUAAGCAUCAGGUAACAUCAAAUCGUACCCCAAACCGACACAGGUGGUCAGGUAGAGAAUACCAAGGCGCUUGAGAGAACUCGGGUGAAGGAACUAGGCAAAAUGGUGCCGUAACUUCGGGAGAAGGCACGCUGAUAUGUAGGUGAAGUCCCUCGCGGAUGGAGCUGAAAUCAGUCGAAGAUACCAGCUGGCUGCAACUGUUUAUUAAAAACACAGCACUGUGCAAACACGAAAGUGGACGUAUACGGUGUGACGCCUGCCCGGUGCCGGAAGGUUAAUUGAUGGGGUUAGCGCAAGCGAAGCUCUUGAUCGAAGCCCCGGUAAACGGCGGCCGUAACUAUAACGGUCCUAAGGUAGCGAAAUUCCUUGUCGGGUAAGUUCCGACCUGCACGAAUGGCGUAAUGAUGGCCAGGCUGUCUCCACCCGAGACUCAGUGAAAUUGAACUCGCUGUGAAGAUGCAGUGUACCCGCGGCAAGACGGAAAGACCCCGUGAACCUUUACUAUAGCUUGACACUGAACAUUGAGCCUUGAUGUGUAGGAUAGGUGGGAGGCUUUGAAGUGUGGACGCCAGUCUGCAUGGAGCCGACCUUGAAAUACCACCCUUUAAUGUUUGAUGUUCUAACGUGGACCCGUAAUCCGGGUUGCGGACAGUGUCUGGUGGGUAGUUUGACUGGGGCGGUCUCCUCCUAAAGAGUAACGGAGGAGCACGAAGGUUGGCUAAUCCUGGUCGGACAUCAGGAGGUUAGUGCAAUGGCAUAAGCCAGCUUGACUGCGAGCGUGACGGCGCGAGCAGGUGCGAAAGCAGGUCAUAGUGAUCCGGUGGUUCUGAAUGGAAGGGCCAUCGCUCAACGGAUAAAAGGUACUCCGGGGAUAACAGGCUGAUACCGCCCAAGAGUUCAUAUCGACGGCGGUGUUUGGCACCUCGAUGUCGGCUCAUCACAUCCUGGGGCUGAAGUAGGUCCCAAGGGUAUGGCUGUUCGCCAUUUAAAGUGGUACGCGAGCUGGGUUUAGAACGUCGUGAGACAGUUCGGUCCCUA
This 2286-nucleotide ribosomal RNA is filed under the name Escherichia coli. RNAcentral's name for it is "partial 23S ribosomal RNA". It matches the Rfam family "Bacterial large subunit ribosomal RNA", at positions 366 to 2640 of the family's 2925-position model. The record is from RNAcentral. Lineage: Bacteria; Pseudomonadati; Pseudomonadota; Gammaproteobacteria; Enterobacterales; Enterobacteriaceae.